Molecule: long non-coding RNA, 517 nt
Filed under: Arabidopsis thaliana (thale cress)
Lineage: Eukaryota; Viridiplantae; Streptophyta; Magnoliopsida; Brassicales; Brassicaceae
Description: long non-coding RNA (ATHA_LNC000713)
Source: RNAcentral
GCCGAUGAGAAGCUUCGGUUCAAGGCUAGUAGUCAGAGCGGCGGAAGAUACACCUCCGGCAACCGCCUCGUCGGAUAGUUCUUCCACCACCGCUGCUGCUGCUCCGGCGAAAGUUCCGGCCGCUAAGGCUAAACCUCCUCCAAUUGGCCCAAAGAGAGGAUCCAAGGUACUUAUUCAUACAUAAUCUUUGAUGCAUGUUUAUACUUCAAAAUUUUGAGUUUAUUGAUGAUAGCCAAGUUUGGAUUACAAUAAAGUUUCUGGACUAUUUAGAAUAAUUUUGUAAGUAUGGGGUCAAUGUGAAACUUAUAUGAAGUUUUUGGACCUCUAGAUCAGGAUUAAAAGGAACUAACCCUUGUGGUAGAAGAAAAUUCAAGCUUAAUUAGAUGCUAGUAGAGAAGAUUGGACUAAUAUUUGAGCUAAACUGGGUAUCAUCAAUAAGUUCUGGGUCUAUUUAGUAUACAUAUUAAGAGUUAUAGGGCUACUGUGAAAUUUAUAAACAAUUUUGAGGACUUACAGG